GCACAAGCGGUGGAGCAUGUGGUUUAAUUCGAAGCAACGCGAAGAACCUUACCAGGUCUUGACAUCCCCUGACCAACCCGAGAGAUCGGGCGUUCCCCUUCGGGGGACAGGGUGACAGGUGGUGCAUGGUUGUCGUCAGCUCGUGUCGUGAGAUGUUGGGUUAAAUCCCGCAACGAGCGCAACCCGCGACCUUAGUUGCCAGCAUUCAGUUGGGCACUCUAAGGUGACUGCCGGCUAAAAGUCGGAGGAAGGUGGGGAUGACGUCAAAUCAUCAUGCCCCUUAUGACCUGGGCUACACACGUGCUACAAUGGGCGGUACAAAGGGUCGCGAACCCGCGAGGGGGAGCCAAUCCCAAAAAGCCGCUCUCAGUUCGGAUUGCAGGCUGCAACUCGCCUGCAUGAAGCCGGAAUCGCUAGUAAUCGCAGGUCAGCAUACUGCGGUGAAUACGUUCCCGGGCCUU
RNAcentral lists this ribosomal RNA (461 nucleotides) under uncultured Anoxybacillus sp. RNAcentral's name for it is "bacterial SSU rRNA". It matches the Rfam family "Bacterial small subunit ribosomal RNA", at positions 923 to 1382 of the family's 1533-position model. Lineage: Bacteria; Bacillati; Bacillota; Bacilli; Caryophanales; Anoxybacillaceae. The record is from RNAcentral.